This 815-nucleotide ribosomal RNA is filed under the name uncultured bacterium. RNAcentral describes it as "bacterial SSU rRNA". It matches the Rfam family "Bacterial small subunit ribosomal RNA", at positions 8 to 796 of the family's 1533-position model. The record is from RNAcentral.
AGAGUUUGAUCAUGGCUCAGAACGAACGCUGGCGGCGUGGAUAAGACAUGCAAGUCGAACGCUAAUUCAAGGGUAGCAAUAUUCUUGAGUUGGAGUGGCGCAAGGGUGCGUAACACGUGGGCAAUCUGCCGUGAAGUUGGGGAUAACUCGCUGAAAGGCGAGCUAAUACCGAAUGUGAUAACCGGGAGGCAUCUUCUGGUUAUGGAAGUUGGGGACCGCAAGGCCUGACGCUUCACGAUGAGCCCGCGGCCUAUCAGCUAGUUGGUAAGGUAACGGCUUACCAAGGCUAAGACGGGUAGCUGGUCUGAGAGGACGACCAGUCACACUGGAACUGAGACACGGUCCAGACACCUACGGGUGGCAGCAGUCGAGAAUUUUUCUCAAUGGGCGAAAGCCUGAAGGAGCGACGCCGCGUGGGGGAUGAAUGGCUUCGGCCCGUAAACCCCUGUCAUUUGCGAACAAACCUCGUGAUUUAAAAGAUGACGAGCUGAUUGUAGCGAAAGAGGAAGGGACGGCUAACUCUGUGCCAGCAGCCGCGGUAAUACAGAGGUCCCAAGCGUUGUUCGGAUUCACUGGGCGUAAAGGGUGCGUAGGUGGUCGGGUAAGUCUGAUGUGAAAUCUCCGAGCUUAACUCGGAAAUGGCAUUGGAUACUAUUCGGCUGGAGGGUUGGAGGGGGGACUGGAAUUCUCGGUGUAGCAGUGAAAUGCGUAGAUAUCGAGAGGAACACCAGUGGCGAAGGCGAGUCCCUGGACAACUCCUGACACUGAGGCACGAAAGCUAGGGGAGCAAACAGGAUUAGAUACCCUAGUAGUCC